RNAcentral lists this transfer RNA (63 nucleotides) under human gut metagenome. It matches the Rfam family "tRNA", at positions 6 to 65 of the family's 71-position model. From Rfam's summary of the family: Transfer RNA (tRNA) molecules are approximately 80 nucleotides in length. The record is from RNAcentral.
CUUAGUCAAGUUGGUCAAGACGCAGGUCUCUCAAACCUGAGGCGCGGGUUCGAACCCCGCAGG